AGGUUUGUGUUACCUCUGAUCCUUAUCUGACUUCAGGACUGGAAAAGAAGCAAACCACGAGAAUAUUUCGAGUGCUUUUAUCGAGCAUAAGUUUCAGUUUGGCUACACAUAUGAGAAGCAUAGGCGUUGCGGGGAAAUUAUAUGGUUCAGGGACUGUGAGACAGACUUAGGCCAAAGCUGCGGUCUUCCUUCGACAAAACAUGGCAUAUCUGGACUUGCCUCUUUAUAGGAUAGAAUUACUAUACACCCACGGGCUUAGCAUUCAGUUCAGCCUUGGAGCAAGCCUACUGGAGAGGGAACAGGUUGA
Haliotis rubra (blacklip abalone) is the source of this 307-nucleotide long non-coding RNA. RefSeq lists it as uncharacterized. The transcript has 3 exons. The record is from RefSeq and is a predicted model, not a curated record. NCBI's taxonomy places the organism in Eukaryota, Metazoa, Mollusca, Gastropoda, Lepetellida, Haliotidae.